Molecule: ribosomal RNA, 714 nt
Filed under: Triticum aestivum (bread wheat)
Lineage: Eukaryota; Viridiplantae; Streptophyta; Magnoliopsida; Poales; Poaceae
Description: partial small subunit ribosomal RNA
Source: RNAcentral
AUGGCUUGCCAUCUACGGUCGGCGAGCACGCCCUCCAGCCCUCGCUCCAACAACACACAAGUCGAGCAGCAGCUCCAGAGCCUCAGCUCAACCGUCUCUUCGCCCUCGGCGACCAUCGAUACCAUGUGCCAUGGUUUGAGGAGGCUGGCAGACAUCUACGGCGGCAUCGAGAAGAUGAUCUGCACACCAAGCAGCCAAGCCAGCCUUUGCCACACCCUGCAAAGGGUGGCAGUGGAGGCAGAGCUCGGACGGUCCCUCGUCGUGCUCGACCUCUGCAACGCCAUGCAGGAGACCUUCAUGGAAUUGAAGAUGACUGUCCAAGAGCUAUUGUUGGUUCUCAAGAGAGGAGAAGAGACGUCGGCUCAAGUCAAGGCGUACGUCAGGCUAGCCAAGAAAGCACAAAAGCAGUUCAAGAAGAUUAGCAAGAAGACUGCUUCCGACAAGAAUGAUUCUAGGAUGGUGAUGCUAAUGGCAGAAGCGAGAGAGAUCACCAUCUCACUGCUCGAAUCCACAUCCUCAAUCUUGUCGAAGCAAAUUGAGGUACCCAAGUGUUCGCUUGUCUCCAAAACAUUGCACAAGAGCAAAGCUGUCUGCGAAGAGGAGCAACUGCGGGCAUUAGAGCGCAGUAUCGGAGAUCUUGAGAGCGGAGUGGAGCUUCUGUACAGGAGAUUGAUCCAGAACAGAGUUUCUCUUCUCAACGCUCUUAGUUUGUAG